This 380-nucleotide ribosomal RNA is filed under the name uncultured eukaryote. Its description in RNAcentral is "partial 18S ribosomal RNA". It matches the Rfam family "Eukaryotic small subunit ribosomal RNA", at positions 592 to 976 of the family's 1831-position model. The record is from RNAcentral.
CAAUAGCGUAUAUUAAAGUUGUUGCAGUUAAAAAGCUCGUAGUUGGAUUUGUGGCUGUCACGGGCGGCCUAUCACUUAGUGUUAGUGCUUGCCUGUGUCGCCAUCCUUGGGUGGAGCCCGUGUGGCAUUAGGUUGUCGUGCGGGGGAUGCCCAUCGUUUACUGUGAGAAAAUUAGAGUGUUCAAGGCAGGCUUAUGCCAUUGAAUAUGUUAGCAUGGAAUAAUAAGAUAGGACCUCGGUACUAUUUUGUUGGUUUGCGCACCGAGGUAAUGAUUAAUAGGGACAGUUGGGGGUAUUCGUAUUUCAUUGUCAGAGGUGAAAUUCUUGGAUUUCUGAAAGACGAACUACUGCGAAAGCAUUUACCAAGGAUGUUUUCAUUAA